Long non-coding RNA from Maniola jurtina (meadow brown), 135 nucleotides. RefSeq lists it as uncharacterized. NCBI's taxonomy places the organism in Eukaryota, Metazoa, Arthropoda, Insecta, Lepidoptera, Nymphalidae. The transcript is spliced from 3 exons. The record is from RefSeq and is a predicted model, not a curated record.
GCGUCCACUGCUGGACAUAGGCCUUUCCAAGAGCGCGCCACCAAACACGGUCCUCCGCCUUCCUCAUCCACCCGCUCCCCGCCAUCUUUUUCAGGUCAUCGACCCAGCGGGCUGGAGAUCGUGGUGAAAAUUUUA